RNAcentral lists this ribosomal RNA (391 nucleotides) under uncultured organism. RNAcentral's name for it is "bacterial SSU rRNA". It matches the Rfam family "Bacterial small subunit ribosomal RNA", at positions 526 to 896 of the family's 1533-position model. The record is from RNAcentral.
CAGAGGGCGCGAGCGUUGUCCGGAAUCACUGGGCGUAAAGGGCGCGUAGGUGGCCACUAUAAGGCCGCGGUGAAAGUUCGGGGCUCAACCCCGAAUCUGCCGCGGCGACUGUAGGGCUUGGGCACCGUAGAGGCAGAUGGAAUUCCGGGUGUAGCGGUGGAAUGCGUAGAGAUCCGGAAGAACACCGGUGGCGAAGGCGGUCUGCUGGGCGGUGAGUCGCAAGACUCAAUAGCCGACACUGAGGCGCGACAGCGUGGGGAGGCAAACAGGAUUAGAUACCCUGGUAGUCCACGCCGUAAACGAUGGGCACUAGGUGCUUUGGGGAGCGACCCUCAGGGUACCGGCGCUAACGCAUGAAGUGCCCCGCCUGGGGAGUACGGCCGCAAGGCUG